RNAcentral lists this ribosomal RNA (253 nucleotides) under uncultured bacterium. RNAcentral's name for it is "partial 16S ribosomal RNA". It matches the Rfam family "Archaeal small subunit ribosomal RNA", at positions 474 to 727 of the family's 1478-position model. The record is from RNAcentral.
UACCAGCACCCCGAGUGGUCGGGACGAUUAUUGGGCCUAAAGCAUCCGUAGCCGGUCCUACAAGUCUUCCGUUAAAUCCACCUACUCAACAGAUGGGCUGCGGAAGAUACUAUAGGGCUAGGAGGCGGGAGAGGCAAGCGGUACUCAGUGGGUAGGGGUAAAAUCCUCUGAUCCAUUGAAGACCACCAGUGGCGAAGGCGGCUUGCCAGAACGCGCUCGACGGUGAGGGAUGAAAGCUGGGGGAGCAAACCGG